AUUUUUGCAGAGCACCAAAUAGCUCGCCAUUUUAGAUUUGUGAACAGAACUCGCAGUAUAGCGAGUACUGUAGCACUCUCCAAUUUACAGCUCUAGACGAGAGUGAAGGCGGGUAAGAGCAUCCACGCUCAUGCUACCCAAACUUAAUCCUUAGCUAUAAUAGCUACUAGCUAGUAUGAGUGAAAAAAAGAAUCGCAUUGUUACUCUCUAUUUGGCUACCUAUUCUAACACUAUGAACAGUACUCUCUAUAUGUAGCGAGUAUUGUAGCACUCCUCGGUUGGUAGCGAGAAAGAAGGUGAUCGCGGGAAAGGAAAGAGCGGAGGAAGGGGUUGUGCUUCUAGUUUCUGUUUCGGUUGCUGCUCAGUCUAUGGUGGUGGCUGAAAUGUUAUGGUGUUGUGUGGGAUGAGUUGGAGCUAUUCGGGUUGGGUGAUUUGCAUAUCUUGAUGCUGAAUCACGCAUUCUAGAUUUAGAGAGAGAGAGAGAGAGGGAGAGAGAGAGAGAAAGCGAUUAGCAGCAGCAAUGGAGGUGGAAUUGAAAGAGAUGCUUAACGAUCUUGAUUAUUUGAAGAAUCACUUUCAAAUCCUUCAAACCUUGCUUCUUCAAUUCAUAAGCAAUAAGAUUCGAGGGAGAUGUUUGCAAAAGAGGAGAUGCAAUUUGGGUGUUUGAAUCUACUGUCGAACAUUUUGGUAGGCUUGACAUUCUUGUAAAUGUUGCAACCAGCAAUUUUCUUAUCAUGAACACAGGAGAUGGAUUGAAGAGCCAACAAAAAGAGUUUAAGGAAUGGCAAUUUAUUUCGUUGUUUGGAUGGUGCUCAUUCUGAACAUGUUUUUAAAGAAGAUUUUAUGUAAAUAAUAAUCACUAAUCAUUUCAAAAAAUAAUAAAAAAUAUUCAUGACUCUAUUUUGAAGAGCAUGAAUGUGAUAUCAUUUUUUAGCUAGCUAGCUAAAAUAGCUUUUUAGCUCUUUUUUAGCUAAAACUUGGGUAAAAUGUAGAGAGCAUGGUUCCAGAUGCUCUAAAAGGGUUGACAGUAUCAUACCAGGGUUUCUUUCUUGAUUUGAGCCCCCCUCCUCAUUUCUCCUCUUCCAUACUUUGUUCUUUGUUGGCUCAGAAGGAGCGACAAAUAGAUCUAGAUGGUUGGCACAGAUCCAUCUCUCUCUAUGUUUUUUUGAAGAAAAGAUGGUGUGAAUUGAUUUUGAGAGAGAGACUCUCCAGCCUCUUCUAAAGUCCAAGGUGUCGAAGUUCAAUUCUUUCUCUCAAAACUUGAUUGUGUUCAAGGUUGUUGUAUAUGAGCAGACAAAAAGGGUUUUUUGGAGCUAGAUUUGGUUAUGGGGGGAAAUGGGUAGAAGAACAUAUUUACUUUGGGUUCAUUUCUAUAAUGCUGUGAAAAAACCGGGGAUUGAAGUUUUCGAUACCAUCCCACAAUAAUCAAUUAUUAUGAUCUUGAAUUGAAUUACAAA
This is a long non-coding RNA of Populus euphratica (Euphrates poplar), 1457 nucleotides long. RefSeq lists it as uncharacterized. NCBI's taxonomy places the organism in Eukaryota, Viridiplantae, Streptophyta, Magnoliopsida, Malpighiales, Salicaceae. The record is from RefSeq and is a predicted model, not a curated record. The transcript has 3 exons.